UUCUAACCUAUUAGGAGGAGCACAGAUGCCUCCAUCAUUUGCUGGCAUGGAGAUAGGAGUCUUUUCUGUACAAUGAUACAAACCCUUUACUAAUUUAGUUUUGGGGGCUGGAGAGAAACCUUUGUUUAUUGAGGCGGAGAGGAAAAUUCCACCUCAGUUUCUUUAGGCUAUCUUUUUUUUUUUUAACUUUUCUUUUUUAAAUUGCAGUAACUAUAUAUAGCAUAAAACUUACCAUUUUAAUCAUUUUUUAAGUGUAAAAUCCAGCAGCGUUAAUUACAUCCACAAUGUUGUGCAACCAUCACCACUAUCUCCAAAAUUUUCCAUCAUUCCAAACAGAAACUCUGUAUAACCCAGCCCCCUGGUAACCUCUAUGCUACCAUCUAUCUUUAUGAAUUUGCCUAUUCUAGGUUACUACAUAUAAGUGAAAUUAUACAAUAUUUGUCCUUUUGUGUUUGGCUUAUCCACUUGUCUUUAGGCUCUCAUUUCUAAAGCCUUCUAGGCCAAUAGCAACAUCUGAAAGUCAUGAAAAAAAUGUAAAUUUAAAAUAUUUCACUGCAUAUCAAACCUGGUGACACCAGAAAAAAAAUAUGUAUUACAUCUAAAAGGAACAGUGGCUGCUGAAUUUUCCAGAACCCAUGACUGGUAACUGUACCAAAGCCUUCAGUUACUGGGUUGUUACAGCAGGGAGGCACAUUUUGUUAGAGUGGAGAAGAAAGUCAUGUGAAAUCUGACGCCUUUCAAAUAUCACUGCUGCAAGAUUACUGACAUGGAAACAGUGUUAGGGACCCAGCUUCAAAACUCAGCCUGACUCAGUGUUUGCUUCUUUCAUCAUCUGUGACAGAUAUGGUUGCCGUGGGCACAAUUUAAUGGGAAAACUCGCCCAAAUUUUAGUUUCCCACACAGAUAUGACUGGCACAUAUGCCCCCAAAGGACAUUUUGUUUUUCACCAGAGGAAUUACUGCACACUGAUAUUGUUUUUGUCAUGCUUUGCAUUUCUUUCUGGAACUUAAAACAUCUCCAAGUGUGUUUGUAGGGAAAUGGAUACGUGUGCAGUGACGUGAGUUAUAGCAUACCUAAAGAGAUUAAACCGUCUCUUGUUAUUUUUAUUGAUUUUUCCAUUGCCAACUAGAAUUAGUUUCAAGGGUUUAGCAAUUGUAGGAAAACUCAAGACAGGAUUGAUAACAAGUGGAUUAUUUUUCAUGCUUUCUUGAGUAGCUGUCACUAUUGACAGAUACCCUAGAAUGUAGUUAUGCAAGAAGAUGCUAAAAUGUCAGCAUUUCAUUAAAAAUACACUUCUAGAGAUAACAAGGUGACUAUUUAGCAUACCCAAAGCUCAGAGAACACCAAUAUAUUUUCAAGAAUGUCCCCAGAGAGCUGAAGAGCAAAACAUCUUCAUGGAUUGAUUCACCUUUUCAGCAUCUGCAAAAGCACAGUAAAGGCAACUCUUAAAUUUCUCAGAAGUGACCACUUCUAUGAGGGAAUUGUGGCUAUAACAUAGCUGUCAAACUGAAUUGCUUGUGACCAAACUCAACCACCUGCUGGUAGGCACUGGGAAUCUUGGCGGGUUUCAGAGAGGUUUAAGCGACUCAAGGAACUCAGAACCAUACUAUGUUGCUGCGUAGCCUCAUCUGACCUGCUUGAGAUUCAGAUGAAGGAGAGAAGGGAGAAAUUAGCCACUUGGAAGACCCUCCGAGAUGCCUUGGAGUCAUGUAGUUGUUCUCCUUGGAAGGGAACAGUGUUUUAUACACCAGCAGGGAAAGGGCUGGUUAUCUGAUGAUACUUAAAACACUGGGAUUGUUGAGAAGAAAUUUGUCAGCUUGCAUAUGCUCAGAAGGCAACACCAAUUCAUAUCUAUCCUCAUUGUUUUUCAACAAGACUCAAGAUUCCACCCUGGCUGUUUUUUGGCACCUAUGAAUCAAGCUUUUGGAAGGUGCAGGACUUCUGGAGAUUUGGGUUUUUCUCUGGGACUAUACAUUGCAGGAGAAUGGAACCAAAGGCGGGCAAAAAUAAAAGCAGAAUCUGGUGCUCUGUACUCCCUUAUGAAUUCUCAUGAAGAAUGUAGGCUACUUCUGAGGCCAAUGCCCAAUAGCUCCUGGAGGGAGCCUCGUCUUAUUUCUCAGGCUCAUGGAUGUGAAGACUGGGCUUGGCUUCCUACUCUUCUGUGUUUAGAGAUCAGUCUUUAAGACAGCUGGGUCAGAUGAAAGAUUGUUCUUUGAAGGACUCACAGAUAAGUGGUUAAUAACUUGUCCCUACAAAACAUAGAAAUCUGUAAUUAUUUCCAUUUAAAUAAAUGUCUCUUCUGUAUGCUACAAUAAAUUAUUUUUAGGUCAUUCAAUUUAAUUAAAAUCCAAGAUAUUCAAAAGCCAGUUCCCUUCCCUCAAAGGCUUUUAAAGGCCUUUAAAGAUGUCCAUAAAGAUGAAUUCAUAGACCCAUAGAGCCUUUUAUUUAAACAUAUUCUCAGAGUGGC
This is a non-coding RNA of Microcebus murinus (gray mouse lemur), 2467 nucleotides long. The record is from RefSeq and is a predicted model, not a curated record. NCBI's taxonomy places the organism in Eukaryota, Metazoa, Chordata, Mammalia, Primates, Cheirogaleidae.